UCUACGAUUUGCACGCCGGUCGAGGAGUGUCGUGCGCAGCCGUCACCUCCAAAGGUAUAGGAGACUGCACCGGACCGAGCGAGUUGAGCAUGCUUGUCUGCGCCACGCCGGUUUCCUGAGACGGACCGGGCGCGCGGGAAGUUCCCAAUGCCGCCGCGGGCGAGUCCGGAGCCGGGAAUUGGAUUACCUCAGCUCUGCGGGUCGACUCUCGUGCUCUUUGACUGCCACAGCUUCUCUCAGUUGGCUUUAGUCAGUCGCCGCGCAAAGUACAGUCUCUUGUCAGGUCCCGGUCCGUAUACAACAUCGUCUUCGCUGAGACGUUUGAGAAGCUUGUGGUGCGCAGAACGUUGAUCGUUUGUUGGGUUGGUUGGGCUGUGUGAGGUGCCUCCUCAUGCGCGCCGCGGCGACAGUUGACUUAUUUAUUUACGACCCGGACGUGCACCUUAAGCGUGCGAAACAAGAACGCUGAUCGAAGCUUUCGCGAAAGUGCUGUUCUUCCGAAAUCCGAACUUCUCUCUCGCAAAAGGGGAAUAAAUCAUGUGAUAAAAUAAUAACGAAUGAAAUGUUUAUACGCGUGUAUAUCUGUAUUUCAUAACGACAAUUACAUGGAAGGCGCGUACAAGAUUCGAACGGAAUUGAACAUGUUUAUUCGCCCUUUUUUUCGUGAUAUGUGCCUUUCCAGGUUUGGUGUCUGUGCGGAGGUCUUGUGUAUCGGGAGUGUAACCUUGCAGUUUAGUUCACCGUGAAGAACGAGAAUAUUUAUGCAUAAAGCAUUGCGGGGCUCAAACGAGUUAUUUUCAGUUUGGUAGUGCUGCAUAUCGCUUUCGGUUCCUUGGUUGGAGGUGUACCUAUGCUGGUGUUCAUUAAUUUCGAGCCCCAAGUCGUUGUUGGCUGUCGUCGUCAUCACAUCGGCGGAGCAGCUGCAGCAGUCGAUAAAAGGUGGAAUAAUGUGAUUGGGUGUGCAUACCCAUACCCAACUAAAUCAUCGAAACCAUCAAGUGGCCGGCGGCUGCGGCGCAACGAAAACCGCUCUUUUGAGACUCACCGUGAUCGUCAAGUGUUCUAGAGUAAAAGUGUUAAUUUUAUUGAUUACAUUUUACCGCCUCGCCUCGUCGUCAUUUUCCCUUAAGUCAUUGGCCAUUACCUUCUAUUACACAGGGGAUGAUGAUCUCUUCAUUCAGCGUGAUUUUACUCUAGCUGACUCGGAAAGUUACGCGCACGGCCCAGCCUGUGAAUGUCUAACCCAGUGAAGAUAGUGAAAAAAUGUACUUAUACUAGCAGCGAUUUUUCGGUUGCGUCUGUUUAAUGCCACUUCGCCGGAGCUGCUACCGUGGAGACCCCAAAAUGCUGCAAAAAGUGUGUUAAUAAAUAGUGUUUAAAGAUCACUGAACUUGUGGACUAGUGGAUGCCAGCGAAGGAGAAGAAAUAAAAAACGUGUGUUGUCUCGAGAGAGGGGAAAAAGUUGAUGAUUUUCGUAAUUAUUGGCCCGGCUGCAAUUACUGUGUGGUGGGACCUGAGAAAAAAAACAUCCAACGUGAGCGAGUGAGUCAGAUUGAAGCUGCAGCGUGACGCUUUUUUGCGAUAUGUCCCUUCAGAUCGGGAUGUUUGGCUGAUUAUUUGGAUUUUAUCAAGAAAGUUCCAUUGAGAGCAUGCACAUAAAUAAAGCUCGGUAAGUAUUACUAUAUGCCAUUGGUAGCCUCCAGCUCAUUUGAUAUCACCUUCUCUUAGUAUAACAUCAAGCAACUCGCUAGUUUAGUUCUUGCUUCGGUCUGGGGAAUCAUUGAAAUAGUAUG
Long non-coding RNA from Aedes albopictus (Asian tiger mosquito), 1793 nucleotides. RefSeq lists it as uncharacterized. The transcript is spliced from 3 exons. The record is from RefSeq and is a predicted model, not a curated record. Lineage: Eukaryota; Metazoa; Arthropoda; Insecta; Diptera; Culicidae.